This 1701-nucleotide small RNA is filed under the name Pan troglodytes (chimpanzee). Its description in RNAcentral is "retained intron". The record is from RNAcentral. Lineage: Eukaryota; Metazoa; Chordata; Mammalia; Primates; Hominidae.
CUGCGCACCGCCUCUCUUCCUUUCUGGGCUCGGACCUAGGUCGCGGCGACAUGGCCAAACGUACCAAGAAAGUCGGGAUCGUCGGUAAAUACGGGACCCGCUAUGGGGCCUCCCUCCGGAAAAUGGUGAAGAAAAUUGAAAUCAGCCAGCACGCCAAGUACACUUGCUCUUUCUGUGGCAAAACCAAGAUGAAGAGACGAGCUGUGGGGAUCUGGCACUGUGGUUCCUGCAUGAAGACAGUGGCUGGCGGUGCCUGGACGUACAAGUGAGUCUAUUUCCUUGUGGUAUUUGGAAGUGUGUGGACCACAUAGGCCCAAAUUCCAGGUUGCUGCUGGAUGGGCUAGUUUUAACACUUUCUCAGGACUGAGAGAAUAAGGAUGCCUUUGUAUUUUCAGGAUUCUUCCUUGGUGGUUUAUUUUCAGUUAUUGAAAGAGUAAACACAAAACUACCAAAAUAGAAGUCGGAAAUCUAAUUCACAGACUACUUUAGAAUUUGAUGGUCACUGGGCACAUUGUUGUGAACAUUGUCAUGAUACUGUGCAGGUCCAUUAGUGGGGCUGAAUCUACUGAACGUUGAUUUGCACUGCAAGUUUUGAUAAAAAUAGGUGAAGGGGUCAGUUAGUUCAAAACUGUAUUUGGAACUUGAGGCCAUCAGGACCACCACAGUUUCGUCUUUCUGAACAGUAUUAGACUGCUGCAGGUUUGUGAAUCUGCAACUCAGUAUCACCUGACAGGGCAAUACUACAAACACUAUACUACAAACUAGCGUCUAGACCUGUGUUGUCCAAUACACUAAGCACAUAUAUGGCUAGUGUAAUUAAAGAAUUGGAUUUUAAAGUUUCAGUCAAUUUAAAGUUAAACCGAAGCAGUGGAAAAUGUUGAAAUAUAUAUAUAUUCCUUGUGGGGGUUUUUAUUAGGGCAGAAUGGAAAAUGGGAACUAGAGUGCUUUCUUGGUUCUGAUAGGAAAGUGAAUUAUUUAUAUACUUACAAUACAGGAUGGUGAUUUUCAGGUAUAGUUCCUGAAUUCUGUGGUAAAACUUUUGUAGUCAUUUCAAUAGCUGUCUUUCCCAAAGGCACUUUAGUGUCCGCUCUAUUUCCUUAAUCAUCGUUCUCACUGUAUCAUCUUGUAAUUUAUUCAUUUCUUGUAAUCUGUCCAUUCCCUUUUAAUAAGUUUAGGUCAGCCUCUUAGAACCAUUUCUUUUUCAUGGGAUGGGGUAGGGGGAGUUAAAGCUUGCUUGUCCACAACUGAGUUACUUUAAAAAAAAAAAAGCAACUCUGGUUGAGAAAUCAGAUGCAUGAGAUUGUAUGUCUAAUUCUGCAAGAUCCUGAAGGCAUGGCUCUUAAAGGAUGCCAUCAUGUAGUUUAGAAGCCACUAAUUUCCGAGGAGUAAUCUAAUGUUGGUUAGAUCUUUGGAUUGACUGCAGCAAAGUAUUGGUAGAGCAGUCUAUCUCAGUAUAAUUCUUUCUAGGAAAAUUUGGGAAGCGACUUUAACACAAAAACGAGGCAGAUUUACUUAUUUGCCAUUUUCUAUGUUAACAUGCUUAAUUAUGUUGGAAACUGAAUCUUUCUUUCCAGUACCACUUCCGCUGUCACGGUAAAGUCCGCCAUCAGAAGACUGAAGGAGUUGAAAGACCAGUAGACGCUCCUCUACUCUUUGAGACAUCACUGGCCUAUAAUAAAUGGGUUAAUUUAUGUAACAAAA